GUGCCAGCAGCCGCGGUAAAACGUAGGAAGCGAGCGUUAUCCGGAUUUACUGGGCGUAAAGCGUGUGUAGGCGGUUUGACAAGUUGGAUGUGAAAGCUCCUGGCUUAACUGGGAGAGGUCGUUCAAAACUGUCAGACUCGAGAGUGGUAGAGGGAGGUGGAAUUCCGGGUGUAGUGGUGAAAUGCGUAGAUAUCCGGAGGAACACCAGUGGCGAAAGCGGCCUCCUGGCCCAUUUCUGACGCUCAGACACGAAAGCUAAGGUAGCAAACGGGAUUAGAGACCCCGGUAGUCUUAGCUGUAAACGAUGUGAACUUAGUGUCGGUGGGUUUAAAUCCAUCGGUACUGAAGCUAACGCGAUAAGUUCACCGCCUGGGGACUACGGCCGCAAGGUUAAAACUCAAAUGAAUUGACGG
RNAcentral lists this ribosomal RNA (413 nucleotides) under uncultured bacterium. Its description in RNAcentral is "bacterial SSU rRNA". It matches the Rfam family "Bacterial small subunit ribosomal RNA", at positions 505 to 916 of the family's 1533-position model. The record is from RNAcentral.